RNAcentral lists this ribosomal RNA (415 nucleotides) under uncultured bacterium. RNAcentral describes it as "partial 16S ribosomal RNA". It matches the Rfam family "Bacterial small subunit ribosomal RNA", at positions 361 to 774 of the family's 1533-position model. The record is from RNAcentral.
AUUUUGGACAAUGGGCGAAAGCCUGAUCCAGCAAUGCCGCGUGCAGGAUGAAGGCNUUNNGGUUGNANACUGCUUUUGUACAGNNNNNAAAAGAGCUACGUGUAGCUUAUUGACGGUACUGUAAGAAUAAGGAUCGGCUAACUCCGUGCCAGCAGCCGCGGUAAUACGGAGGAUCCAAGCGUUAUCCGGAAUCAUUGGGUUUAAAGGGUCCGUAGGCGGCCUUAUAAGUCAGCGGUGAAAGUUUUUGGCUUAACCAAAAAAUUGCCGUUGAUACUGUAGGGCUUGAAUUUUUGUGAAGUAACCAGAAUAUGUAGUGUAGCGGUGAAAUGCUUAGAUAUUACAUGGAAUACCAAUUGCGAAGGCAGGUUACUAACAAACGAUUGACGCUGAUGGACGAAAGCGUGGGUAGCGAACA